Long non-coding RNA from Polypterus senegalus (gray bichir), 1393 nucleotides. RefSeq lists it as uncharacterized. The transcript has 3 exons. The record is from RefSeq and is a predicted model, not a curated record. NCBI's taxonomy places the organism in Eukaryota, Metazoa, Chordata, Cladistia, Polypteriformes, Polypteridae.
CCUUGCACUAGCACAUCCAUACACUGGAAUAAUUCCAAGAUAUUAUUUUAUCUAUAUGACUUUACACAAUGCUGUUUACAGAACAAUAGAUUUACCAGAGGAAACCAGUACAAAACUGGCUGAAUGGUCAAACCCACCUAAAGGGUCUUUUUGCCAGGACUGAUCUUUUGGAGAAUUCAUUCCAGAUUGGCUUGACAGCAGAGUGGGAUCCCCCAUCCCCACUGAAUACUACAAAACUGAAGAACUACAUUUCUGCAUACCUACAAAAUCUACUCUAUAAAAUUCUAAGCCUAAAAAUUUUACUAAUAUUCUGGCUGCAACUAGGGAUUGGCCACCGAAGGCCCCCCUAGUAGUCAAUAAAAGGAUAAGAUGGAGCUCUCUGUACCAUUUUCUUCUGAUCCUCUGACCAGUGUCUCACUCUCUGAGGAUUAUCAAACCACUCAUUCCAGAGGUAGCAGACCUUGAGUUAUCUUCAAAAGACAUGCCACUCUAAUGGAAUUUUGCAGACUGUGGCAUUUAAAAGGGGCUUGUUCUGGUGCAUAUUCAUUUGGUGAGAAUUGGUCUUUAAAUGCCUAUUACUCUCUGCCAUUAGAAAAGUAGUGAUAGUGUGACACUUUAUGUUUUUGGCAUUCUUGAUUCUUAAACAAGAAAUAUAUUUGUACACUAUAAAUCACAAAUGUUAGAAAAUUGUAAUUCACAUAAUGUAGUAUAUACAACAUGAGUACUCUCCAAGAUGUAUGCUAUGGAAGACUGUGCCAGGUAGACAUUGAGUAAUUCAGAAGUCAACAACUACCAACAAAGUGCAAUCAAAAUGUCCAAAGGCUAUUGGGGAUCAGCUGCUGUAUAUGAUUGUAUAAUUCUGUGUGUAUAGGUGGUCCUCACCCAGAAUAAAUUGAGCAUGUCAAGCCUGCCUGAUGUGAAUGAUGGGGUAUGAACAUUUGUAUUUACAAAGCAACUGCUCCAAAUCUGUCCAAGCAGAAGGAAGAGCAGAUUGCAAAGGAGCAUCUAAGGCUGAAUCCCCACAGGCAUUUCCUAACAGUAGCAAAUUGUUUAUUUUUAUCUGAAACGUUGUAAUUUAGUAUAUGCUGUGUGGCAAAAUAAAAAGUUGAUGCAUACUGUAGUUUUGUAACAGAAUAACACUGGUUGUAAAAGCAUUUGCAGAAAAAGUACCAGUGAAGAUCCUGUUAUUAUAAAAGGGGUUUGAAAAGCCAAGAAAAAUUUCUUCAGCAUGCAAAGGAAAGCACCCUAACAAGGCAUAGCACUGUAAAUGUGCAUGAGAUGGAGGCCAUCAUUAAAAUUAUGGUAUGAAAGGAAACAGAAUAACAAGAAAAAAACAUGAGUUAAACCUGUCCCACACGGCAGUCCCUCCAACUAAUGCAAUGUAUAGUUCUCC